ACUGUCACCAAAAAAUAAAUAAAUAAAUAAAUAAAACACAAACAAACCAAAAAAAAAAAAAAAAAACACACAUACAGGUACAUGAUUAACUGAUAACCACUGAGGCAGUUUUUUGUCUGUCAAAACUGUCAAAACCAAACAACACAGAAGAUCUUCCUUUUUCACAUUCCUUUAUUGUUCUGGACCAUUCACAGGCACACACCUCCAGGUAAAGUUACUAGGAGAAACUUGACCUUGGUGCCAAAGCAUUCAUUACAGUCAGUACAAGAAGCCUCUGUUCGUUCUUCUAAGCUCUUUUGUGUUUGUUCAGUUUCAGUGAGAACAUGCCACCACUUUCAUAGAAAGAACGAAAGAAAGAAAGGUGAUGCCAUUAUUUUUUACUCUUUCAAGUCCUUGAAUGAUUUGAGCUAUGACAACAUGAGUCAAAUUCAGCACAACUAUCCCACAAUAGACAUUAUUGUGUUAGGAGAAUAGAAAGACACAAGGGGGUCAUCUGUCAGAAACUACUCCUUUGUUUAAUGAGAUUUGCUAUUAAGUUGUGAGAGGAAAAUUCUGAAAAUCAGGGGAAACAUUUUCAGAGCUGACCUGCAUUAGAGCUCCUAAAGUGAGUCAGCCAGACUGUGGGAUGCUUAGCCCAACUGCAGCACACACAGACGCCAGUUCAAUCUCACAAACUGAGCAGACAGCCUGAGCUGACCAGCUGCAUGAGUCAUGCUUGGCUCAUUCUGGUCCCAUUUACAGCUGAAGGGGUCACAAAGGCCUCUCGCCAGUUCCAUUACCGGGAAUGUUACUGAGCGAGAUUGUGGUGCGAUUCAUUCAUUGACUAAUUAGUGUUUAUAGAGUAAUUAAUGUUUAAUAGAGUCAUUGACAAAGAGGGGAGGAAAGAACAUGGGAAAUAUUUAAGUAUAAUUUAAAGAUUGCAAUACAGUUAUUACAAUGCAUUUAUUCAGCAAGGAUGCAUUAAAUUGAUCAAAUUGAUUCAAACUUUCUAUUUAUCAAAGAAUCCAGAAAAAAAGGUAUCACUGUUUCCUCAAACAUAUUAAACAGCACAACUGUUUUCAUCAUUGAUAAUAAUAUAAAAUGUUUCUUGUGCACCAAAUCAGCAUAUUGGAAUGAUUUCUGGAUCAUGUGACACUGACGACUAGAGUAAUGGCUGCUGAAAAUUUAGCUUUGCCAUCACAUAAUAAAUUACAGGAAUAAAUUACAUUUUAAAAUAUUAUAAAAUAGAAAACAAUUAUUUAAAUUGUACAAAUAUUUCACAAUAUUACUGACCCCAACAUUGUUGUGUUAUUUAUGCCAAGGAAACAAACAUAAUAGUCAAUAUAUGCCUGGAUUGUUGCAAUGAGGACAUGACAGUCAACCAAGCAAAGACAUCCUUUACACACUCAAUGUGCAUGUCCAAACAUUAAAUGUGUAAUGCAAACUAUGAGGAUAUGUAUGUUUUACUGAACCCGUCUCCCUCAGCCACUUUCCACAGGGUGCGUAGUUAGCGUGGGAAGGGCAGCUGCCUAUUCAUAUCCCUGGAAUCUGAGCACACAUGAUCAGAACAGGUAACAAAAACGCCUUCACGCUUCUCCGAAUUACACCAGCUGAAUGACUUAUCUUAUACCCAGACACCACGUGCACAGUGUUACAACAUUUAAAAAAAAAAAUGAAACCUAUGCAUUUAGAAAAUAUGGGUGAAUUUUCAUUACAUGCCGACAUCAACAAGUCUACCAAGCUAUAUUUUUCAAACACCAGAGAGGCCAGCAGCACCAGGAAGACCUCACAUCUCCCACUGUCUGGUCUCCUGCUUGCUGUGCUGCUUUAACACGCUCCAACAUGAUUCCUACAGCUGAGGGCCAAAAUUCCAGACCUAUCACCUUUAAAGAUUAUUUUACAUGAGAUGAAAAAUUAAAAAGGCAUCCAAGCACCAGUAGAAGGUAGGUUUGGAGGUAAAUAUCAAAACUUGACCCUGAGGUGAAGUGAAAACAGAAGUAAAACAUGAAGAUGAAUGAGGCAUCUUCAAGAAACUUAUAUUUGGCUUUUUUUUUCAUAUUAAGACAAAACCAAUACAUUAUCUUAAUCAUUUAUACUGUCCAUUUAGUGGGUAGAGAGUGCACAGCAUUUCCACUUGGAGUUUUAGGGCACCUUUCAAAUACAGUAGUGAUGGUUAGUCCUCCUGAAUACUAAAAGAGGCACUUGGUGAGCCAGCAAGCAGGAAGGCAGCGAGAUGACUCAAGCUCCUGACAGUGUUUUGCCACAUAGCAAUAGCUGAAAUAAUGUGUGCUUCUCACCCCCUUAGGGCUUGUUCACACAGAACAUGUUUUUUGCUGUUAAAAACACAAGAUGCAGGUCAGGAGAACGAAAAAGGUCUAGAAACGCCUUUUUUAAAAGUCAAACUUAUUUUAACUUGAGCGCCAUGUUUUUAGAAUGCCGUGUCAUGCGCGAGACGCUGCAAAAGAUGCGAGACGCAAGUGCAGUGGUUAAAGAUGUCUGUCUAGCAUGUUUACACUGAAAAAAAAAUGGAAAAGUAGCGCAGUGGAAUGAAAAACCGAAGUAAAUCUUUGUAUAUUGGAAUAUUACUGAUCACUCAGGUGUCACUUCAGGGAUAUGCCCUUAUGUUGUUGAAGUGUGGUUAUUUAAUAAAUUAAUAAUAAAUAACAAUAAAGCAAGAUACCCUGUUGAAAUAUGUGAAAUGUAUGAUUUAUUUAAACUGCAAAGGUAAAACAUAAGUUAAAAUAAUUAUGACAUAUGUGAAUGGGGAAGAGAAGAUUUUUCGACGAGAAAAACCGGGUCACAGGCUGGAGGAUGGACAAGCGAGGAAACGAGGAAGCAUCAAUAUGAGUAUUGAGAAGCACCCACAGAACCAUCUCGACAGUCAAGUGAGCACAGCACAAAAAGACAUGGCUAAUGAUGUCACAAUAGGGGUCUGUACUCCAAAAUCCUUUUCUAAGAGAUGGGAAAUUGGGGGCUUUCCAUAAUGAGGACAUUUUUGGACAACCACCAUGAGGAAGGAUUGUGCCACUCACACCAGAGAGAAGAGCUGUGUUAUUAGACACAGCUGGGUGGAGCCUGAAAGAAAUGUGGGAGAACUUGUCUUGUGUUGACAAAAAUUCCUCGGAAGAACUACAGUCAUGCUUACUCUUCACCAAGAGCAACUGUAGAUUCUACAUCUUUGUUACCUGAACAGCCAAUCAGAGUAAUCUCUCUCACCGACCGGCUCCACUGCUGAUUCAACAAGCAUGUCGCCGACGGGGGUCCGACUAGGUGCCAAAGAUGUGGAACAAAAACAAGACUGACAGAUGCUCAACUACAGCUUGACAUUUGGCCAAAGGCAGCUCUUACAGCCAAAGACUAUAGAAUAACACAAGAUGUGUCACUCGUAUUGUUUUGAAUGGGAGAAAGUGCAACGCGCAAUAUGGUGGAAUAAGUCCCGCCUUCUAAAUAAGAGCCAAUCGACAAUUGGUAAAGUCAUUGUGUCACUGCAGCAGCCAUUAGAAGCUCUGGUUGCUAUAGAAACAGUCAGACGUGCGCUUCCUAUAGAGAAGCGCACUUAGGACUGCACAUGCGCAUUAGCUUGAUCCAGCCUGAAAAGUAGUUUUUUGUCAUGAUUCGAGCAUUUAGAAACAAAAUUUAUGAGACAGUUGUUGUCAGAUUUCAUUGGUGAUUUCAAAUAUGAAAUUUAAUCAAAAGCUUGGCAAACAUCUUUGAAGAAUUUGAUGUUUCCCCAUUCAAAGAGAUAGGAGCUGCACUUGCAUGCCCAAUUCAGUAAUUCAGUAAUUCAGUGAAACUGUGCAUUAUUUUAUUUCACAUUUGAUUAUUCAAUGACUGUAGUAUUUCUUACUUGAAUGCUACUGUUAAAUAUCCCUACUGUACUUGAAAAAUUUAAAGCACUGUUUUUGUCA
Molecule: long non-coding RNA, 3887 nt
Organism: Ctenopharyngodon idella (grass carp)
Lineage: Eukaryota; Metazoa; Chordata; Actinopteri; Cypriniformes; Xenocyprididae
Exons: 2
Source: RefSeq, a predicted model, not a curated record